RNAcentral lists this transfer RNA (85 nucleotides) under Felis catus (domestic cat). It matches the Rfam family "tRNA". From Rfam's summary of the family: Transfer RNA (tRNA) molecules are approximately 80 nucleotides in length. Their secondary structure includes four short double-helical elements and three loops (D, anti-codon, and T loops). The record is from Rfam by way of RNAcentral. Lineage: Eukaryota; Metazoa; Chordata; Mammalia; Carnivora; Felidae.
GCCUGUGUGGCUCAGUUGGUUAAGUGUCUGACUUCAGCUCAGGUCAUGAUCUCACGGCUCGUGGGUUCAAGCCCCACGUUGGGCU